This is an RNA transcript of Piliocolobus tephrosceles (Ugandan red Colobus), 1583 nucleotides long. It is a transcript of the gene named uroporphyrinogen III synthase, with no coding region annotated. Lineage: Eukaryota; Metazoa; Chordata; Mammalia; Primates; Cercopithecidae. The record is from RefSeq and is a predicted model, not a curated record. The transcript has 12 exons.
CGUGGCCUGGAUGUCGGUGCGCAUGCGCGAGUGCCUAGCUGUGCGCGCGGCCACCCCCGCAACCCCGGGCUGAGGUGCGGGGUCCUGGGGCCAGGCGCGGGUGGCCGCCGCGGCCCCUUAGGCUGCGUGGGGAGGGGGCGGCCCCCCCGUUGUCAUUGCUCCUGCAGCCUCAGGAGCCUCUUCGCUGGGAGUGCGCGACACCGCCCCCAAACUGGGUGCCCGCUGUGUGCCAGGCCCGGUGCUGGGCACGGUCCCGUCUCUUAGCCCAUUCGGGCCUCCCCAGCCCCGCGAGGGUAACGUCUGAUAAAUCAGUGAUCCUUCAUCAGUAGGAGAUGGAAGGCCCUGAAGGUCCCCAGGAGCCCAGAUUCCCCAUAAUCGUGUUCUCGCCCUAUAAGGACUGCCAGGCAAUAAUGAAGGUUCUUUUACUGAAGGAUGCUAAAGACGACGACUGUGGCCAGGAUCCGUAUAUCAGGGAAUUAGGAUUAUAUGGACUUGAAGCCACUUUGAUCCCUGUUUUAUCAUUUGAAUUUUUGUCUCUUCCCAGUUUCUCUGAGAAGCUUUCUCAUCCUGAAGAUUACGGGGGACUCAUUUUUACCAGCCCCAGAGCAGUGGAAGCAGCACAGUUAUGUUUGGAGAAAAACAAUAAAACUGAAGUCUGGGAAAGGUCUCUGAAAGAAAAAUGGAAUGCCAAGUCAGUGUAUGUGGUUGGAAAUGCUACUGCUUCUCUAGUGAGUAAAAUUGGCCUGGAUACAGAAGGAGAAACCUGUGGAAAUGCAGAAAAGCUUGCAGAAUAUAUUUGUUCCAGGGAGUCCUCAGCACUGCCUCUUCUAUUUCCCUGUGGAAACCUCAAAAGAGAAAUCCUGCCGAAAGCGCUCAAGGACAAAGGGAUUGCCAUGGAAAGCGUAACUGUGUAUCAGACAAUUCCACACCCAGGAAUCCAAGGGAACCUGAACAGCUACUAUUCACAGCAGGGGGUUCCAGCCAGCAUCACAUUUUUCAGUCCCUCUGGCCUCACAUACAGUCUCAAGCAUAUUCAGGAGUUAUCUGGUGACAAUAUCGAUCAAAUUAAGAAAUACCCUUGAACUGGCUCCAGAGGGACUGAGGAGAGGGUGCAGGAUGUGACCCAGAACCCAAAGGCAGAAACUGCCACUCACUGCAGUCAGGAAGAGCAAAAGGCUUCACCUGCCUUCUCACAGGUGCAUCUCAUGGGGAGUAUGCACUGCUUUCCCAGUUUUCAAGAUGGAGCGUGGGACUCAGAGACAUCAGAUGGGCUGCCUGUAGGUCACGCUGCUGAGAAGGAAGAGCUGCAGUUUGAACCUGGGAAGACUGAUUCCACAUUGUCAGCCAUGGUGAUGCCUUGCCAUGGUCUCGGGAGCUGCUGAGCAGUAACUGAUAGAAUUCCCACACCAGUCCAAUGCUCCUGGACUCAGGAGAGUUGCUGAAGAAGUUUGUGCAGGGGAGGAAUAAAGGAUCACACAGGAAUUUGAGAGCCAAAGUAGAGUGCAACUGGCCCCCCAGGCCCAGGUGGGCUAGUGGUAAGAACUGAAGAUGUUCCCUCUGGACCUUCCAGCCACAGCUCAUUG